AGGUUCCGGCCCCACCAACGGUCCGCGCCUGCGCAGGGCGGCCCCGCACCGGGCUCCCCGCGGAGGGGCGCCCCCGGCUGGCCGCGCAGUGGAGAGACGCUGCAGAGAAGCUGGGAGGGAAGCACUAACGCGCGUCUCGCCCAGGAGAGCGGUCGGUGGGCUCGAAUUGGACAUUCCCAGCGCCUCGCUGGUCCCAUGGAAAUGGAGAAAUAGCUUCGGGAAGGAAGUCUGAGAUCAGGGGGACAGCUGGUUUGGUUUCUUCUGAGGCCUCUCUCCUUGGCUUGCAGACAGCUGCCUUCCUCCUGUGUCUUCCCUCUGCACAGUACACGGUCUCUCACUGUUGUGGCCUCUCCCAUUGCGGAGCACAGGCUCCAGACGCGCAGGCUUCAGUGGCCAUGGCUCACGGGCCUAGCCGCUCCGUGGCACGUGGGAUCUUCCCGGACUGGGGCACGAAC
Orcinus orca (killer whale) is the source of this 455-nucleotide long non-coding RNA. RefSeq lists it as uncharacterized. Lineage: Eukaryota; Metazoa; Chordata; Mammalia; Artiodactyla; Delphinidae. The transcript has 3 exons. The record is from RefSeq and is a predicted model, not a curated record.